UUCCGGUUGAUCCCGCCGGACCUGACUGCUAUCGGAUUGAUACUAAGCCAUGCGAGUCUUUGUAGUAAUACAAGGCAUACGGCUCAGUAACACGUAGUCAACCUACCCUAUGGACGAGAAUAAUCUCGGGAAACUGAGCAUAAUUCUCGAUAGAUCAUAAUGCCUGGAAUGGUUUAUGGUUAAAAUGAUUCGUCGCCAUAGGAUGGGACUGCGGCCUAUCAGCUUGUUGGUGAGGUAAUGGCCCACCAAGGCGAUUACAGGUACGGGCUCUGAGAGGAGAAGCCCGGAGAUGGGUACUGAGACACGGACCCAGGCCCUAUGGGGCGCAGCAGGCGAGAAAACUUUGCAAUGUGCGAAAGCACGACAAGGUUAAUCCGAGUGAUUUCUGCUAAAGAAAUCUUUUGCCAGUCGUAAAACCGCUGGUGAAUAAGGGGUGGGCAAGUUCUGGUGUCAGCCGCCGCGGUAAAACCAGCACCUCAAGUGGUCAGGAUGAUUAUUGGGCCUAAAGCAUCCGUAGCCGGCUUUGUAAGUUUUCGGUUAAAUCCAUGUGCUCAACGCAUGGGCUGCCGAAAAUACUGCAUAGCUAGGGAGUGGGAGAGGUAGACGGUACUCAGUAGGUAGGGGUAAAAUCCUUUGAUCUAUUGAUGACCACCUGUGGCGAAGGCGGUCUACCAGAACACGUUCGACGGUGAGGGAUGAAAGCUGGGGGAGCAAACCGGAUUAGAUACCCGGGUAGUCCCAGCUGUAAACGAUGCAGACUAGAUGAUGCAUUGGCAUAAUAGCCAUUGCAGUGUCUCAGGGAAGCCGUUAAGUCUGCCGCCUGGGAAGUACGUACGCAAGUAUGAAACUUAAAGGAAUUGGCGGGGGAGCACCACAAGGGGUGAAGCCUGCGGUUCAAUUGGAGUCAACGCCGG
This 914-nucleotide ribosomal RNA is filed under the name uncultured marine archaeon. Its description in RNAcentral is "bacterial SSU rRNA". It matches the Rfam family "Archaeal small subunit ribosomal RNA", at positions 1 to 921 of the family's 1478-position model. The record is from RNAcentral.